This 465-nucleotide ribosomal RNA is filed under the name uncultured bacterium. Its description in RNAcentral is "partial 16S ribosomal RNA". It matches the Rfam family "Bacterial small subunit ribosomal RNA", at positions 28 to 507 of the family's 1533-position model. The record is from RNAcentral.
GACGAACGCUGGCGGCGUGCUUAACACAUGCAAGUCGAACGGUAAGGCUCCAGCUUGCUGGGGUACACGAGUGGCGAACGGGUGAGUAACACGUGGGUGACCUGCCCUGCACUUCGGGAUAAGCCUGGGAAACUGGGUCUAAUACCGGAUAGGACCGCACCGUGAGGGGGUGGUGGAAAGUUUUUUCGGUGUGGGAUGGGCCCGCGGCCUAUCAGCUUGUUGGUGGGGUAAUGGCCUACCAAGGCGGCGACGGGUAGCCGGCCUGAGAGGGUGGACGGCCACAUUGGGACUGAGACACGGCCCAGACUCCUACGGGAGGCAGCAGUGGGGAAUAUUGCACAAUGGGCGGAAGCCUGAUGCAGCGACGCCGCGUGGGGGAUGACGGCCUUCGGGUUGUAAACUCCUUUCACCAUCGACGAAGGGUUUCUGACGGUAGAUGGAGAAGAAGCACCGGCUAACUACGUG